AUUGAACGCUGGCGGCAGGCCUAACACAUGCAAGUCGCGCGAGCGGCGGACGGGUGAGUAAUGUCUGGGGAUCUGCCUGAUGGAGGGGGAUAACUACUGGAAACGGUAGCUAAUACCGCAUACCAUCAGAUGUACCCAGAUGGGAUUAGCUGGUUGGUGGGGUAACGGCUCACCAAGGCGACGAUCCCUAGCUGGUCUGAGAGGAUGACCAGCCACACUGGAACUGAGACACGGGCCAGACUCCUACGGGAGGCAGCAGUGGGGAAUAGUGCACAAUGGGCGCAAGCCUGAUGCAGCCAUGCCGCGUGUAUGAAGAAGGCCUUCGGGUUGUAAAGUACUUUCAGAGGGGAGGCGUUACCCGCAGAAGAAGCACCGGCUAACUCCGUGCCAGCAGCCGCGGUAAUUC
RNAcentral lists this ribosomal RNA (406 nucleotides) under uncultured bacterium. Its description in RNAcentral is "partial 16S ribosomal RNA". It matches the Rfam family "Bacterial small subunit ribosomal RNA", at positions 30 to 526 of the family's 1533-position model. The record is from RNAcentral.